This is a small nuclear RNA of Vulpes vulpes (red fox), 191 nucleotides long. Its record names the gene U2. It matches the Rfam family "U2 spliceosomal RNA". Rfam says of the family: U2 is a small nuclear RNA (snRNA) component of the spliceosome (involved in pre-mRNA splicing). Complementary binding between U2 snRNA (in an area lying towards the 5' end but 3' to hairpin I) and the branchpoint sequence (BPS) of the intron results the bulging out of an unpaired adenosine, on the BPS, which initiates a nucleophilic attack at the intronic 5' splice site, thus starting the first of two transesterification reactions that mediate splicing. Lineage: Eukaryota; Metazoa; Chordata; Mammalia; Carnivora; Canidae. The record is from Ensembl.
GUUUAUCCUCGGCUUUUUGGCUAAGAUCAAGUGUAGUAUCUGUUCAUAUCAGUUUAAUAUCUGAUAUGUCCUCUAUCCAAGGACAAUAUAUUAAAUGGAUUUUUGGAGCAGGGAGAUGGAAUAUAAGUUUGUUCUGUAUACUCCAUGCAUCAACCUUGUAUUAUAAUACCUCCAGGAAUGGUGCUCCCACC